GCUAAAUAAACGGCUGGAAGAGAUAAAGAAAACGUCCUUGCAGGCUCUAACGCCUGUUACGCAAAGAAUCAAGAAAGACGUACCGAAAGUUAAAAUAGAGCCUGUCGAUAUGACGGAUGCGUUUGAUAAUGAAGAUAUCCUGGACGGAUCCUUCGUGGACGACGAUGAAAAAGAUCCGGACUGGAGAAAAACGCCCCUUGGUAAAAGAAUCCUGGCAGAAAGACGAACCAAGUUAAUGAGAGGCAGUCAGAUGCCUGGU
Long non-coding RNA from Sitophilus oryzae (rice weevil), 259 nucleotides. RefSeq lists it as uncharacterized. The transcript is spliced from 3 exons. Lineage: Eukaryota; Metazoa; Arthropoda; Insecta; Coleoptera; Curculionidae. The record is from RefSeq and is a predicted model, not a curated record.